Molecule: ribosomal RNA, 666 nt
Filed under: Colias philodice (clouded sulphur butterfly)
Lineage: Eukaryota; Metazoa; Arthropoda; Insecta; Lepidoptera; Pieridae
Description: eukaryotic LSU rRNA
Rfam family: Eukaryotic large subunit ribosomal RNA
Source: RNAcentral
UUCAGGGGUAAACCUGCGAAACUCGAAUGAACGAACGGAGAGAUUCAUCGUCAUUCCGCGGCGUACCCGUUCGCGCCUUGAUGCAGGUCGUGCGGGUCGACGUUCGCGGACGGCGUGCACUUCUCUCUUAGUAUACAUCGCGACCCGUUCUCGGUCUAAGCGUCGUUCGGGAGCCUAGCGGCAGGACGGUAUAUUGGGAACCGCGCACGCGUUUCGACGCGUCAGGCCCGACGCAAGUGGUGUCAUCCUGCCUAUGUGCGGACGACGACGUGGCGCCGCUGUUGUCGCAGCCGUAGUCUCUGACUGUGCGCGUGUCCGUCUGCGAUGUUUCAGUUUCGGGCACUCGCAGGACCCGUCUUGAAACACGGACCAAGGAGUCUAGCAUGUGUGCGAGUCAUUGAGUUAAAACUGAAAGGCGCAACGAAAGUGAAGGCGUGCGCCGCGCGCUCAGGGAGGAUGGAGGGUCGACCUCUCGCACUCCCGAGGCGUCUCGUUUCCAAUCUGUGAAUGUAGGCGCGCUCUGAGCACAGAUGCUGGGACCCGAAAGAUGGUGAACUAUGCCUGGUCAGGUCGAAGUCAGGGGAAACCCUGAUGGAGGACCGUAGCGAUUCUGACGUGCAAAUCGAUCGUCGGAACUGGGUAUAGGGGCGAAAGACUAAUCGAACC